UACGUAGGGGGCGAGCGUUGUCCGGAAUCAUUGGGCGUAAAGCGCGUGUAGGCGGCUCGAUAAGUCUGGUGUGAAAUCUUGGGGCUCAACCCCAAGCGGUCACUGGAUACUGUCGGGCUAGAGUCCGGAAGAGGAGAGUGGAAUUCCUGGUGUAGCGGUGGAAUGCGCAGAUAUCAGGAGGAACACCAAUGGCGAAGGCAGCUCUCUGGUACGUGACUGACGCUGAGACGCGAAAGCGUGGGGAGCGAACAGG
RNAcentral lists this ribosomal RNA (253 nucleotides) under uncultured bacterium. RNAcentral describes it as "partial 16S ribosomal RNA". It matches the Rfam family "Bacterial small subunit ribosomal RNA", at positions 524 to 776 of the family's 1533-position model. The record is from RNAcentral.